GUAGUCUCGCACAGAUGCAUAUCAAUAAGCGGAGGAAAAGAAACUAACAAGGAUUCCCCUAGUAACGGCGAGUGAAGCGGGAAGAGCUCAAAUUUGAAAUCUUAAAGGGUUUCCCUUUACGAAUUGUAGUUUAAAGAAGUGUUUUCUGUUGAGGUUUUGGUAAAAGUUCUUUGGAAUAGGACAUCAUAGAGGGUGAGAAUCCCGUAUUUGACCUUUACUUUCAACUUUGUGAUACACUUUCAAAGAGUCGGAUUGUUUGGGAAUGCAGUCCAAAAUGGGUGGUAAAUUUCAUCUAAAGCUAAACAUUGGCGAGAGACCGAUAGCGAACAAGUACCGUGAGGGAAGGAUGAAAAGAACUUUGAAAAGAGAGUUAAACAGUACGUGAAAUUGUCAAAAGGGAAGCGUUUGACACCAGUGUUGUUUUUCUGAAAAUCAAUUAAAGAACUGUUUAUGCUAAGCUGUUUAGACUUUAUCAGCUAACUGUUUAGUUUUGAGCUUUUCUUUAAUGCACUUUUCAGUUAACAAGUCAACAUCAAUUUCUUUUGCUGUAAAAAAGCUUGAGGAAGGUGGCUUGAGAUUCGUCCUUAAGUGUUUGAUAGCCUCUUGCCUAUGCAGUCGGAGAGAUUGAGGUCUGCAGCGUAGAUCCUUCGGGGCUAAAUGCAUUUGUGCUAAGUUAUAGCAUUUUAUAGACAACUUGUUGACUAUGAUUUGUCUUGUAGCUUACUCGCUUAUGUUAUUUUACCUACGCUUAGGAUGUUGAAGACUCUACAGAGAU
RNAcentral lists this ribosomal RNA (775 nucleotides) under uncultured Neocallimastigales. RNAcentral's name for it is "partial large subunit ribosomal RNA". It matches the Rfam family "Eukaryotic large subunit ribosomal RNA", at positions 24 to 632 of the family's 3401-position model. The record is from RNAcentral. Lineage: Eukaryota; Fungi; Neocallimastigomycota; Neocallimastigomycetes; Neocallimastigales.